Molecule: unclassified non-coding RNA, 2700 nt
Filed under: Leishmania donovani
Lineage: Eukaryota; Euglenozoa; Kinetoplastea; Trypanosomatida; Trypanosomatidae
Description: gene:unknown
Source: RNAcentral
CAUCAGCUGACCGCUCUCCUCGUCUCUCUGAGUGCGCGUGGUCCUUCCCCUUUCCCCCUUUCCUUGUUGGUUUUCUGUAUGUUUGCGUUUCAUUGUCCCCCCCCUUGUACACUCGACGCCCUUUUUUCGUGAUGUUUCCUCUUUUUUCCUGUUGUUGUUCCUCUCUGUCUGCAUCUCAGCUCACAUGCUGCAGUGGCGGCGGUGCCCGUGAUGACAACGACGUCGACGAGGUGAGCCGCCAGCGCACACGCACACGACUACACGUAGUCAAAAGUAGAAAGCAGCACACGGAUGCCUGGCACCAAAAGAGAGACGAAAAAAGCGGGCACAGAUGGCCAAACCGCGAGAGGGGGUAGGAUUUGCCAGCAUAUCAUAAGGUGGCAAUACACCGCGCCAGUACUACCAUUCCUCACUCCAGCUACCCCGCUUCGCACCUACCACGUCUUCCUUUACCAUUUUAUGUUUUCCAUUAUUAUUGCUCUCUUGAUGGCGGCGGCACAAACCUCACGGUGCUUGGUAUCACAGGGCCCCGUACACCCCCACUCUGUGUGUGUGUGUGUAGGAGGAGGCCACGCGGCACCUCACCUCUGUCCCCUGCCAAUGUCAGAACCCUACUUCUUCUGGUGCGGACAGGGUCAAGCACCGACGACGUAGCGGCUGUCGGGGCGGUGUACCACUGCUGGCGUCGGCGACGCGGCCGUGGAUAGCGUUGUGCUGGGGCGGCCUGCAACCGUGCACACGUCUGCGCCAUCCAUAUGAUUGGGCAGCGUGCCAGAGCGACUCGGGCGCAUGUCUCACCCGGCCCUCGCGCACUGCCUGCUGGUGCGGGUGGGGGGGGGGGGGCUGAGCCAUGCCCCGAGGAGGGAUGCACGAGGGCUGGCGGCCGGCAUGAUGGGGGAGCGGCUGUGAGGCGAGACCUGCGAGGCAAAGAGAGGGGGAGAGAGAGGUUGGUAGGGCACGAGGCAGGGGGGCCGUGCUCUCAGAUGGCUGAGUGGGCGCACUGCUGCAGCGCGUGUGUCCACGACUGCUUCGCACCACGCUGGUGGGACCUGUGCGCCUGCGGGGCUCGGGUGGCGUUUGAUCUCCUGUGCUGUAGCGGAGAAGGGGCACGUGGAAAGUGGGCAAAAUCAAGGGUUUGUGCUUCAUCUCCAGUGGGCUGUGCUAGCAGCCUUCUACUCUGGUUAUCCGCUGUGUGUGUGUAGAUCUGGCAGCGCGUCGCACCCCGGUUACUAUUUUCGCUGUGUCCCUUUUGCCUCUGCAGACCCCGUGCCUACUGUAAGGUUUCUUCAUUCCUCCCCUCCUCCUGUUUGUCUCCCCGCUCGUCUGAUACCUCUGUGUGUUUUAUUAUUAUUUUUCUGGGUCUUGUAAGGUGUCUAGUUAUACGCUAAAAUCGUAUGAGGAGCCUCUUGUGUGGUUUGUCCCUUUUGUUUCGCCUGCGUGUAUGCGCUCUGUGCGUUGAUUUUCUUUCCUCUCCCGUUGCCGCCGUCGCGUAGUCUCUCCUCCUUCCCAUGUUCUGUGCGUGUGUGCUUUAGCUACAGUGGACUCGGGAUUGCUGCCAAACUAUGCAGCGGAAUGUUUCUCGUGCUGGUGGACGUGAGAGUCAGCAACAAAUAAAGACGUGCACUGUUUGCUUUUUCUCCUUUACUGUGCACCCAUCAGUUCUUCGUUUUGUUUUCCUGUUCUUGGGUGAGCAUGCGUGCCUCCUCGUGCCUCUUCUCUCUCUUUCACACGCUGCUGCACUAGCACCUUUUCGCCUCCUUGACCAUUACAAGCUCGUUUCUCAGCCAUCUUGCACGGCGGGCACAGCGGCACGAGUUCCUUGUCUUCUUAGUCCCUCAUCUGCCCCUCCCCGUUUUCGAUUUUUUCUUUGUGCUACGCUCUACCGUCGCCGCUGUCCCUUUCUUUUAGUUUAUUGUUGUUUUUGGGUCCACGAAUGAGCACGCGUGUGUGGACUAGAACAAGGCGAGGUGGACCACAGGUCGAGUGCAAUGGCGCCCUGGACGCCAACGCUUUUGCCUUACCCAAGCGUGUCUUCCGUGGCCUGUGUGUGCGCACCGACAGCGUGCGGGCAGCAACACCGGCAGCAGUCGGGAAGAAGCAACGCAGCCAGGGAGCGACUGACAAACUGAUUCGAAGGGGCUAAACGAGCAUCCGAUACCCAAUACAACUAGAAAGUAUCAAAAGGCACGGAACGAGAACUGCGGAAGAAGGACCGCAUGCGCGGGGGCGAUUUUUGGGAAAAGAUGCAAAGAGAAGGCGGCAAGGGCUUGGCAGCACUCUAUCUCCUCGCCCCUCCAUGCUUGGCCGUGUAACACGCCCCCCUCCUCUUGUGGAGCGGCUCCCUGUCUCCCGCUCUCGAGCAGCGCACAAGGAGUGGAAAAAGGAAUCCGAAUAGCGUUUGUCCGGUUCACCUUCGACAUAUAUGAGUGAGUGCAUGUGUGCCCUCAUGAAGGCCUGCACGCACCACCUUCGUGCGCACCCGUCGCACCGCCCUGCUCGUGUGACGGCCGAUCUUUUCGAUGGGAAGUUGCGGCGUCGUGCUCUCUUUCGCCCUUUGGCGAUGCAAAACUCUGGCGCCACUUCGCACCUACUGCCUCUUACCUCCGGCGUCCUUCGGUAUUUCUGCUCAACCUCUCUCACCUCGACUUCGAGCGCGCGCGCUCUGUAUCUUUCUUCUGGAGGGAUGCAUCUCUCCUCCAG